Molecule: transfer RNA, 72 nt
Filed under: Marmota marmota marmota (Alpine marmot)
Lineage: Eukaryota; Metazoa; Chordata; Mammalia; Rodentia; Sciuridae
Also listed under: 1 other name
Rfam family: tRNA
About the family: Transfer RNA (tRNA) molecules are approximately 80 nucleotides in length. Their secondary structure includes four short double-helical elements and three loops (D, anti-codon, and T loops). Further hydrogen bonds mediate the characteristic L-shaped molecular structure. tRNAs have two regions of fundamental functional importance: the anti-codon, which is responsible for specific mRNA codon recognition, and the 3' end, to which the tRNAs corresponding amino acid is attached (by aminoacyl-tRNA synthetases). tRNAs cope with the degeneracy of the genetic code in two manners: having more than one tRNA (with a specific anti-codon) for a particular amino acid; and 'wobble' base-pairing, i.e. permitting non-standard base-pairing at the 3rd anti-codon position.
Source: Rfam by way of RNAcentral
GGGGGUGUGGCUCAGUGGGAGAGCACUUGCCUAGCAUGUAUGAGGCACUGGGUUCGAUCCUCAGCACCACAU